GUGAAUCAUCGAAUCUUUGAACGCAAAUUGCGCUUCUCGGCAUCCCGGGAAGUAUGCCUGUUUGAGGGCCAGUAUUAAUAAAAAAUCGGUUUAGUUAUAAAUUGUGACGUUUCUGGUGUCUGGGCUAUCUUAACAUCUUUGGUUAAGAGGUUUAAAAUUGACCUUUUUUGCGCAUUCUUAAACGUACAUAAAUUUUUUUUAUUCGUCUAUUCUUAAUGCUAAAAUAUUAUUAGAUGCGAUCACAUCGUGUGGACUCGUGUCUAUAAAAUUUU
Molecule: unclassified non-coding RNA, 272 nt
Filed under: Glomeraceae sp.
Lineage: Eukaryota; Fungi; Glomeromycota; Glomeromycetes; Glomerales; Glomeraceae
Description: partial contains 5.8S ribosomal RNA and internal transcribed spacer 2
Rfam family: 5.8S ribosomal RNA (bases 1-71)
Source: RNAcentral